CACACAGAGGUGAGUGUUCUACAGUUGGAAUGAUGCAGAGAAGAAAGCAUGAACCCUGCACAAGGAUGGCAUGAAACUUGGUGAACUGACCCCUAUUUUU
Molecule: small nuclear RNA, 100 nt
Filed under: Choloepus hoffmanni (Hoffmann's two-fingered sloth)
Lineage: Eukaryota; Metazoa; Chordata; Mammalia; Pilosa; Megalonychidae
Source: RNAcentral